Molecule: small RNA, 314 nt
Filed under: Pongo abelii (Sumatran orangutan)
Lineage: Eukaryota; Metazoa; Chordata; Mammalia; Primates; Hominidae
Description: processed transcript
Source: RNAcentral
CCCCGCUCCCCCAGUAAGCUUGGUGGGUGGACAGAUCCCAAAGGAUGGUGGGACAGUGGAAACUAUGGAGAGAGAAGAGGAACAUCAGGAAGUAGCCUGGGCUCAGGAAGUGCCCUAACACUUAGGAAGAGAGAGGGCUAAGAACAUUGUGCUGAAUUCUGGUUGACAUAUCUUGGCCACACUGAGUGAUGCCCUGGGAACUGUUCCAAAACAGAGGGAGAAUGUGUGCAAGUGUGGCUAUGCCCAGAGCCAGCACAUGGAAGGCACCCAGAUCAACCAAAGCGAGAAAUGGAACUACAAGAAACACACCAAGG